UCAUAAUCAUAUAUGUCUUGAAAGCAUUCAUCAUUUGGAGGUGUGCAUCAUCAUUUGAGCAUAGUUCUCUUGGCUUUGGUUGUGAGUAUUUACAAUUUGAUUGUACUUCUCUUGGCUUUGAUUGUGAGCAUUUACAAUCUGAUUGUACUUCUCUUCGCAUUUGGACGAACAUGAACCAUUAUCACAACUGGAAGAAUUUAUACCUCCAAAAAGACGUCUUGUUUGUCUAAAAACUUUACUCGGGAUAGCUCCUAACCCCAAGCACCAUACUCUUUAAAACGAUGUCUUGUUUGUCUAAAAACUUUACUCGGUAUGGCUCCUAACCCCAAGCACCUUACCCUUCCAGAAUGCUCUUUUCCUAACACCAUACCAACAACAUCAUUUGGUGAAACUUCGGACUCAUCUGUGGCGCUUUGACUUAC
RNAcentral lists this long non-coding RNA (422 nucleotides) under Nicotiana benthamiana. Its description in RNAcentral is "long non-coding RNA (NBEN_LNC031212)". The record is from RNAcentral. Lineage: Eukaryota; Viridiplantae; Streptophyta; Magnoliopsida; Solanales; Solanaceae.